GUGAAGUCAUUGAUGCCAUGCUUCCAGGAAAAGCCUCUAAGCUUCAGAUUGUAAGGAAUCGUACCCCAAACCGACACAGGUGGUCGGGUAGAGAAUACCAAGGCGCUUGAGAGAACUCGGGUGAAGGAACUAGGCAAAAUGGUACCGUAACUUCGGGAGAAGGUACGCUCUCGACGGUGAAGUCCCUCGCGGAUGGAGCUAUUGAGAGUCGCAGAUACCAGGUGGCUGCAACUGUUUAUUAAAAACACAGCACUGUGCAAAAUCGUAAGAUGACGUAUACGGUGUGACGCCUGCCCGGUGCCGGAAGGUUAAUUGAUGGGGUUAGACUUCGGUCGAAGCUCUUGAUCGAAGCCCCGGUAAACGGCGGCCGUAACUAUAACGGUCCUAAGGUAGCGAAAUUCCUUGUCGGGUAAGUUCCGACCUGCACGAAUGGCGUAAUGAUGGCCACGCUGUCUCCACCCGAGACUCAGUGAAAUUGAAAUCGCUGUGAAGAUGCAGUGUACCCGCGGCUAGACGGAAAGACCCCGUGAACCUUUACUACAGCUUGGCACUGAACAUUGACCCUACAUGUGUAGGAUAGGUGGGAGGCUUUGAAGCACGUACGCCAGUAUGUGUGGAGCCGUCCUUGAAAUACCACCCUUGUAGUGUUGAUGUUCUAACGUCGACCCCUUAUCGGGGUUGCGGACAGUGCCUGGUGGGUAGUUUGACUGGGGCGGUCUCCUCCCAAAGAGUAACGGAGGAGCACGAAGGUGGGCUAAUCACGGUUGGACAUCGUGAGGUUAGUGCAAUGGCAUAAGCCCGCUUGACUGCGAGAAUGACAAUUCGAGCAGGUGCGAAAGCAGGUCAUAGUGAUCCGGUGGUUCUGAAUGGAAGGGCCAUCGCUCAACGGAUAAAAGGUACUCCGGGGAUAACAGGCUGAUACCGCCCAAGAGUUCAUAUCGACGGCGGUGUUUGGCACCUCGAUGUCGGCUCAUCACAUCCUGGGGCUGAAGUCGGUCCCAAGGGUAUGGCUGUUCGCCAUUUAAAGUGGUACGCGAGCUGGGUUUAGAACGUCGUGAGACAGUUCGGUCCCUAUCUGCCGUGGGCGUUGGAAGAUUGAAGGGGGCUGCUCCUAGUACGAGAGGACCGGAGUGGACGAACCUCUGGUGUUCGGGUUGUGUCGCCAGACGCAUUGCCCGGUAGCUAAGUUCGGAAUCGAUAACCGCUGAAAGCAUCUAAGCGGGAAGCGAGCCCUGAGAUGAGUCUUCCCUGAUACUUUAAGUAUCCUAAAGGGUUGUCGGAGACUACGACGUUGAUAGGUCAGGUGUGUAAGUGCUGUGAGGCAUUGAGCUAACUGAUACUAAUUGCCCGUGAGGCUUAACCAUACAACACC
Molecule: ribosomal RNA, 1372 nt
Filed under: Vibrio parahaemolyticus
Lineage: Bacteria; Pseudomonadati; Pseudomonadota; Gammaproteobacteria; Vibrionales; Vibrionaceae
Description: partial 23S ribosomal RNA
Rfam family: Bacterial large subunit ribosomal RNA
Source: RNAcentral